AAUAGAUACCCCGGUAGUCCACGCCCUAAACUAUGUCAACUAGUUGUCGGGGAAGAAAUUCCUUGGUAACGCAGCUAACGCGUGAAGUUGACCGCCUGGGGAGUACGGCCGCAAGGUUAAAACUCAAAGGAAUUGACGGGGACCCGCACAAGCGGUGGAUUAUGUGGAUUAAUUCGAUGCAACGCGAAAAACCUUACCUACCCUUGACAUGUACGGAAUUCCGCAGAGAUGUGGAAGUGCCCGAAAGGGAACCGUAACACAGGUGCUGCAUGGCUGUCGUCAGCUCGUGUCGUGAGAUGUUGGGUUAAGUCCCGCAACGAGCGCAACCCUUGCCAUUAGUUGCUACAUUCAGUUGGGCACUCUAAUGGGACCGCCGGUGACAAACCGGAGGAAGGUGGGGAUGACGUCAAGUCCUCAUGGCCCUUAUGGGUAGGGCUUCACACGUAAUACAAUGGUCGGUACAGAGGGCUGCCAACCCGCAAGGGGGAGCUAAUCCCAGAAAGCCGAUCGUAGUCCGGAUUGUAGUCUGCAACUCGACUGCAUGAAGCCGG
RNAcentral lists this ribosomal RNA (551 nucleotides) under uncultured bacterium. RNAcentral's name for it is "bacterial SSU rRNA". It matches the Rfam family "Bacterial small subunit ribosomal RNA", at positions 777 to 1329 of the family's 1533-position model. The record is from RNAcentral.